This 253-nucleotide ribosomal RNA is filed under the name uncultured bacterium. RNAcentral describes it as "partial 16S ribosomal RNA". It matches the Rfam family "Bacterial small subunit ribosomal RNA", at positions 524 to 776 of the family's 1533-position model. The record is from RNAcentral.
UACGGGGGGGGCAAGCGUUGUUCGGAAUUACUGGGCGUAAAGGGCUCGUAGGCGGCCAACUAAGUCGGACGUGAAAUCCCUCGGCUUAACCGGGGAACUGCGUCCGAUACUGGAUGGCUUGAGUUUGGGAGAGGGAUGCGGAAUUCCAGGUGUAGCGGUGAAAUGCGUAGAUAUCUGGAGGAACACCGGUGGCGAAGGCGGCGUCCUGGACCAACACUGACACUGAGGAGCGAAAGCCAGGGGAGCAAACGGG